GUGGAUUAGAUACCCUGGUAGUCCACGCUGUAAACGAUGUGUGCUAGACGUUGGGGGGUUGCCUCCCGGUGUCGCAGCCAACGCGUUAAGCACACCGCCUGGGGAGUACGGCCGCAAGGUUAAAACUCAAAGGAAUUGACGGGGGCCCGCACAAGCGGUGGAGCAUGUGGUUCAAUUCGACGCAACGCGAAGAACCUUACCAGCUCUUGACAUGGGUAGUAUGGGCCUGGGCGACUGGGCUCUUCAGUUCGGCUGGCUACCACACAGGUGCUGCAUGGCUGUCGUCAACU
This 290-nucleotide ribosomal RNA is filed under the name uncultured bacterium. Its description in RNAcentral is "partial 16S ribosomal RNA". It matches the Rfam family "Bacterial small subunit ribosomal RNA", at positions 773 to 1060 of the family's 1533-position model. The record is from RNAcentral.